GGGAAUGAAAGGCGGGAUUGCACGGGCGGGGCUUCAAUUUUUUCUCAAUGACUCUGUAUAUUCGUCGAUCCCUUCUUAUCUGAGAAUCAAAUCUUGGUCUUAUUCAUCGUCUUCAAGAAACAGAGUUUGCUUUGACUAUAGGUAUUGAGUCUUUCUCUCAAUGUGAAUUUACUGCAAUCCGAUCUUCUCCCUAUUUUGAAUUUUACUGAAUUUGCUUCCAUAAAUCUUCUUCAGGAUACAAAGCUUUGUUUAGACUGUACUGCACUAGGUAUGAAGACGCCCUUCCUUAUGAAUAUAAGAUUACAGUAUCGUCGUUCUUAUUCUGAAUUUUUCUGCUAUUAAUCCCUAUUAUAUUAUACCCAGCUUCGUAUAUAAACUAUUUAAUCCACAAAGUUACCUAUAGCUCAUUUAAAAGUUGUUUUUCAUAUGUGAAUUUUGGACGUUUAUGAUAUACCUAUUACAAAUAUGUCUAAUUGUAUGAUACAUGAGGGCUUUUGAAUAAGUAAAUGGUCAUUACCUGAUCAUUUAGUUAUUUCUUCAAUUAAUAAUAAUCACAUAUUUUAUGAGACAUACUACGUCAUAUAGUAUAUUAAAAUUUUCUUAUCUUUAUUUAACUCCGUUGAUUUUUAAGGGAAAUAUAGUUCUCAACUGCUCAUGUCGGCACCGGCAUAGAAGCCUGCACAAACUUUGUAACGACCCUCUCAUGCCAUAACAGGUGUCACUAGCAUCUUCAUCAAGCAAUAGCAGGUGUCACUACUUUUCUUUUGCAUUGUCCGAAACACAUAGGAAAGCUAGUAAGCUACUGUACUUUUGCUCUUCAUUUUUACUAAAAAAGAGUCCUUUGAUUAGACAAGAUAAUCCAGCAGCAGACCAAAU
This 876-nucleotide long non-coding RNA is filed under the name Fragaria vesca (wild strawberry). RNAcentral describes it as "long non-coding RNA (FVES_LNC002409)". The record is from RNAcentral. Lineage: Eukaryota; Viridiplantae; Streptophyta; Magnoliopsida; Rosales; Rosaceae.